UUCUGAGAUGGGGAAAACCAAGACAUAGUGGGACUUGGGGGUACAGUGAAAAUCAGUUCAAUUUGGAUACAUUAACUUUAGAAAAGUCAUUAAAUAUCCAAGAGGAUGAAUAGGACAUUGGGUUUUGAUUCUGGAGCUUAGGAGAGAGGUCAGCAUGGGGGUUUUGAUUUGGGAGACAUACAAGCAUGGGGCUGAGUGUGGUCCCCCAAAGAAAGAGUGGAUCAGGGGAAGGAUGGGCAGGACAGAGACUUGAGUUAUUUCAACAUUGAGGCCAGCAAGCUGUUUUGAGGGCCUAUGCCCCGGCUGGUAAUACUUAGAGCCCACUCUUCUUCAACUCCUCAUUACUGCUUAUGUUUGCAAGGUUCCUCUUCAUGGGUCCUGGUAGUUUCAGUGUCUUGGUUUUGAGAUCAGCUCUCUGACCAAAAACUCAUUGGUUGUGUUUUUCUUAUAUUUCUGAAGGCUUUGGAACAGGAAGCAGUUUCCUUCUGGAACAUCCCAUCUGCUAUGUACUUCUCUACUUGUGGAUUUGCUCUGUGUACCUGGAGACAAAUGAGGCACGGAUGGCUGAACGGGCCUGUCUUCUCUGAUUCACAGUCUAGUUCCUCCUCCUGCAUCCCAUGUCUGCUCAGGACAUAUGGCAGGAGCAGCCACCACACCUGCGCAAGCACUUGCUUCCACAGACCCAGCUGUCUGGGGCUCACCUGAGCACACCUGUUACCUUUUCCUUCGAAAAGCUGGCCAUUGAUUUCUGACUUCAAAGCCUCAAAUCGUAUAUGGAAACCUUGGAGGAAGACCUGGCUGAGAGUGUGUACCACCAUUUUGCAUGACUUGCUUCUCUCAUCUCUGAAUGGAUCUGUGAUACGAAGAUUGAGCUGCUGUUUAGUGUAAAGGAGAUGAUGUCUGCAGUGCAGUGAACACAUAGCAAGGACUCUCCAAGUAGCACAGACCCAUCUCAAGGUGGGUCAGUGGAAAGAAUACUUAGACGGAGGCACGAGGUC
Molecule: long non-coding RNA, 998 nt
Organism: Lontra canadensis (Northern American river otter)
Lineage: Eukaryota; Metazoa; Chordata; Mammalia; Carnivora; Mustelidae
Exons: 3
Source: RefSeq, a predicted model, not a curated record